Punica granatum (pomegranate) is the source of this 537-nucleotide non-coding RNA. The record is from RefSeq and is a predicted model, not a curated record. NCBI's taxonomy places the organism in Eukaryota, Viridiplantae, Streptophyta, Magnoliopsida, Myrtales, Lythraceae.
UCAAAACCCUUCUUCCUGCCUUGACUUCUUCUACUUUAGGUGUCCAGUGGCUUCUUGGAGAAGCCAGUUCCUUGCGUCUCCAACUCCAAGUCCAAGGUCUCUCUCUCCCCGUCACAUUCCCGAGUAUUUUCCCUUGAUGGGGCCAAACACGACCAAUUUCUCUACCCCGCCGUCGUCUCCGCUGGAAGAUCUAAAGUUCUUACCCGAUGCCGAGAAGCUUGCACCAGCAGCUCUUACCCUCUUGCUCUGAUUCUUCUUCCUCCUCGUCCUCCUCGUCCUCGUCGACCACCUUGAAGCUCCUCUUCUGAUCUUUGAGGAGGUACCCAAAACUCUGCUUCCCGUGGCUGAGGUGAGAAGAGCCGAAGAUGAAGAAUAGUAGGAAGAAACUAGGGUUUUCGAUUCAAUUCUGCAAUUUCUGCCCGUUUUCGAUUUCGGGUCGGGAAUUCGAUUCGGAUUCCUUUAAAAUUUCUGAACCCAUGCAACCGUCCGGUUCGAAUGGGUUCGAUGGGUUUAUCUAAAAAUCAGUCAAUUUUUUGA